Molecule: ribosomal RNA, 478 nt
Filed under: uncultured bacterium
Lineage: Bacteria
Description: partial 16S ribosomal RNA
Rfam family: Bacterial small subunit ribosomal RNA
Source: RNAcentral
GACGAACGCUGGCGGCGUGCUUAACACAUGCAAGUCGAACGGUAAGGCCCUUCGGGGUACACGAGUGGCGAACGGGUGAGUAACACGUGGGUGAUCUGCCCUGCACUUCGGGAUAAGCCUGGGGAACUGGGUCUAAUACCGGAUAGGACCACUGCCUGCAUGGGUGGUGGUGGAAAGCUUUUGCGGUGUGGGAUGGGCCCGCGGCCUAUCAGCUUGUUGGUGGGGUGAUGGCCUACCAAGGCGACGACGGGUAGCCGGCCUGGGAGGGUGACCGGCCACACUGGGACUGAGAUACGGGCCGGACUCCUACGGGAGGCAGCGGGGGGGAAUAUUGCACAAUGGGCGCAAGCCUGAUGCAGCGACGCCGCGUGAGGGAUGACGGCCUUCGGGUUGUAAACCUCUUUCAGCACCGACGAAGCGCAAGUGACGGUAGGUGCAGAAGAAGGACCGGCCAACUACGUGCCAGCAGCCGCCGCGG